This is a long non-coding RNA of Peromyscus maniculatus bairdii (prairie deer mouse), 2971 nucleotides long. RefSeq lists it as uncharacterized. Lineage: Eukaryota; Metazoa; Chordata; Mammalia; Rodentia; Cricetidae. The record is from RefSeq and is a predicted model, not a curated record.
AUAUAAAUCCCCUUUAUAUAUAUAUAUGUUAUUUAUAUGUGUGUGUGUAUACACACACACACACACACAUAUAAACACAAACACAUAUACAACAUUGUACAAGUUCUGCUACUCUUGAGAACCCUAAUAUAAACAUAAAUGUUGGGGGAGUUCUUGCAGUAUUAUGCAGCCGGUUUGGUUCUCGAGUGUUAGCACCUAGCUUUAAUCUGCCUUUUGUGACUGUUACCUUUUGUCUCCGGUACCUUCCUUUUGAAACAUGUGAAUCUUGUCUGAGUUUCCUAAGGGUUCAAAGCCCAUGCGGAACUUGGUAGGGAGGACUGGCAAACCGAGAUGUCUCCUACCAUGAAGCUGCAUUUGACAUUGUCUCUUAGGAGCUCUGAUAAGAGGUGUAAGGAAACUGACUUGUUAAAGUGUAAAUUGUGUAACAGUAAAAUGGCCCUUUGCUAAGCGAGAUUGAGUCAGUCUGCCGGAGGCUGAUCCCCCUGCAGCUAGAAAAGGCUAAAAAUCAUCCUUAGAGUGCCUCUGUGUCUUCUUUCUAUGGGCCUGUGUGAACCCACACCUGAUAUGAAAAAAUGAAAUACAAUUUUUAAAGUUUCUUUUUUAAAAAGCCAGAGUUAAAAAUGAGCUUCAUCUCACGGGAUAGGAUGUGUGUUACGGACAGAGAGAGAGCUGGGGCAAGCAAACCGCCCUUUCUGAUUCUCCUGUGACAGCCGUUCGGACGAUACAGCCAGGGCUGGGACUGGACCUCAUGCUGGAAACAGUCUGGGAGGGCUUCUGAUGUGGCCAGAUCAACCAAGAAGCCGGACUUGACUUUUAAAAGUUAAAUGUGGUGGUGCACGCCUUUAAUACCAGCACUUAGAGGCAGAGGCAGACGGAUCUCUGUGAGUUCGAGGCCAGCCUGGUCUAUAGAGCGAGCUUCAGGACAGCCAGGGCUGUUAAUAUAGAGAAAUGCUGUCUUGAAAAACAGUACACUUUGGCCUCUGCAUCAUGAGUAUGGUCUUCGAGUCUGAAUCUGCCUUCAGUGCAACAUGAUCAGCCCACUGCACCACACAAAGAUAAAAUGCAAGAGGUGUGGUGCUCUUAGGGCAGAAAAGCUCCUGGAGGGGAAAUCUCCUGAUGGAUAUCAUCAGGUACAGUCAGUCCUGCCUUGUUUUGGACUGGCAAGUAUCCUGCCUAAGAGAAAUAACGGAAUGGAACCAACCACCAUACCUGAAGAGUCAACCUACGCAUGACUUUUUGAUCUAAAGAUCACACUCUAUGGCCGUGAACAUUCAACACUUACAGAAACGUCUAAAUCAAUGCCCCCAAGAAAAACUGUCCACCUUUGAGAGACAUAGUAGACUUGAAAGUGGAGCCCCUCAUCGACAUUUCAAUGCUAAGUAGGAAUUGGUAUCAUAGAUCAGACAGAUCGUGCACUCAUGCCCACACACAGAUUCUGCCCCGAUGGAGCCCAUCAUAAAUAAGCUGCUGGCUUUAUGGAUCUGUAAGACGGUGACCGAAAGGACCAGUCUGUCACUGCUGGCCCAGGAGGAGGGUCCGGUGGAACAGUCAGCAUGGGUCAGCUCUGCUCCUGGCCUAGUGGAGUGGGUAGGGGUGGACCAGGGUCCCGUGUCAGCUGCAGGUGCUGAGCUGGAUCAGCGCCAGCUGCCAACCGGAGCGCCUCGGUUUGCCCUUGCUGCUGGGCAUGCAGAUGCUCCAGCGUCUCCUUGGAAAGUGUGAUUACGUGCACUGGCUCCGGCUGGGAGGACUCCAUCUGGCCUCCAAUCAUACUGAGGCUCUGAAUGUGCUCUGUCUGCUCCUGCUGAGCUGAAAGAAUCAGGCUCUGCAGUUGCUCAGGCUGCUGCGUGAGCAGGGCCAGAUUAGCAGCUGGGUCUGUGGCCAUGUUCUGAGAGGUGUCAGCAGCUACCAGGCUGACCCCCGGGUUGGGGCCUGGCAUGAAGUUAAUGUUAUGCACAGAAUCAGUUACAAGAAGCUGAAUCUCCUGCUCUCCCGAGGUGGAGAGCUGGUACGGUUGUAGCUGAAGAAUGUUGCGGACCUCCUCAGCAUUGCCUCCGGAAACGCUGCAGGAAUCUGCCGCGUGCUUCUCUUUGUUGUGAAUUUUCAAGUGAGCCUUCAAAUUGUCUAAGCGAGCAAACUGUAGGCUACACUCGGAGCAGGAGAAGGGCUUUUUGCCUGUGUGGAGGAUGCAGUGUCUCCUCUUGGCACUGGAGUCGGAGAAGGACUUGCCACAGAUGCUGCAGGAGUACGGCUUUUCUCCUCUGGAAGAAAGCACACAGAAACGCUCUUUCUCCUUCCGGGUACUUAGGCAGAAGCCAUGAAAAGUGUUUCCGCUUCAAGUCUCAGACACAGAAGGGCUGAAAGGGCUCACGGUACGGUGGACUGAGCUACGUGGGAUGAGACUUUAUGAUUCUGUUGUCAUGUGUUUCAGCCAUUAGGUUUCCAACACUGAGGUCUGUAGGACACUCAAGCUACGUUGAUGGAGUCUGACCCGGCUUCGGAUCUCUUCUGUAUAAACUACCUCCAUCCACCUGGGGACCACUCCUCUCGUUUAUUCCGUUCUGAAGCACUGACAGGCCACCAGCCACGUGAACUGCUGGGGAAGACGGCAACAAAACAGAUGUGACCACAGCUGCAGAAGGGGUGCGCAGUCUAUUUGAGGAGCUAGUCAAGCUAGUGCUUGACUGACGGCCGAAAUCAACAGUGCAUGAGGUACCGAGGCCUGGGCCAGGAGAUGCAGGAGACAGAUGGAGACAGAGGUUAACGGGGGAGGUGUCAGGGCCUGAGGAGCAGAGACCAGGAGGAAGUCUGUUACAGGAGGGCUAGACAGGAAUAAUGAAAGCCAGACACAUGCGGACGGCACAGGAAGGCGCAGGCAGAGCUGACUUAGUUCCAGAGGGUCCAUCCAUGACGUCGGCCUGGUUGUCCCCCUUUUAAAAUCUGGAGUAUUAACAGUUUGUCCUACGAGCAGUGA